UACGAAGGGGGCUAGCGUUGCUCGGAAUCACUGGGCGUAAAGGGUGCGUAGGCGGGUUCUUAAGUCAGAGGUGAGAUCCUGGAGCUCAACUCCAGAACUGCCUUUGAUACUGAGAGUCUUGAGUUCGGGAGAGGUGAGUGGAACUGCGAGUGUAGAGGUGAAAUUCGUAGAUAUUCGCAAGAACACCAGUGGCGAAGGCGGCUCACUGGCCCGAUACUGACGCUGAGGCACGAAAGCGUGGGGAGCAAACAGG
Molecule: ribosomal RNA, 253 nt
Filed under: uncultured bacterium
Lineage: Bacteria
Description: partial 16S ribosomal RNA
Rfam family: Bacterial small subunit ribosomal RNA
Source: RNAcentral